AUUGAACGCUGGCGGCAUGCCUUACACAUGCAAGUCGAACGGCAGCACGGGGGCAACCCUGGUGGCGAGUGGCGAACGGGUGAGUAAUACAUCGGAACGUGUCCUGUAGUGGGGGAUAGCCCGGCGAAAGCCGGAUUAAUACCGCAUACGCUCUACGGAGGAAAGGGGGGGAUCUUAGGACCUCCCGCUACAUGGGCGGCCGAUGGCAGAUUAGCUAGUUGGUGGGGUAAAGGCCUACCAAGGCGACGAUCUGUAGCUGGUCUGAGAGGACGACCAGCCACACUGGGACUGAGACACGGCCCAGACUCCUACGGGAGGCAGCAGUGGGGAAUUUUGGACAAUGGGGGCAACCCUGAUCCAGCAAUGCCGCGUGUGUGAAGAAGGCCUUCGGGUUGUAAAGCACUUUUGUCCGGAAAGAAAACGCCGUGGUUAAUACCCGUGGCGGAUGACGGUACCGGAAGAAUAAGCACCGGCUAACUACGUG
RNAcentral lists this ribosomal RNA (484 nucleotides) under uncultured bacterium. Its description in RNAcentral is "partial 16S ribosomal RNA". It matches the Rfam family "Bacterial small subunit ribosomal RNA", at positions 29 to 507 of the family's 1533-position model. The record is from RNAcentral.